UUGGGAGCAGAAAGAGAUAAUAAGUCGGGAUGAACACAUGAAGCUUCAAACUCAGGUGUUCUUUGCUUCCAUUGACCAGCGCAGUGAACGAGCUGCUGGAGAAAGUGCAUGCACAGCCCUUGUGGCUGUGGUUGCUGAUUGGUUGCAGCACAAUCGCGGUCUCAUGCCAAUUAAAUCACAGUUUGAUAGCUUAAUUAGAGAAGGUUCAUUAGAAUGGAGGAAACUUUGUGAAAAUGAGACAUACAGGGAACGGUUCCCUGACAAACACUUUGAUCUGGAGACGGUCCUUCAAGCCAAAAUUCGCUCCAUAACUGUCAUGCCG
RNAcentral lists this unclassified non-coding RNA (322 nucleotides) under Hevea brasiliensis (rubber tree). The record is from RNAcentral. Lineage: Eukaryota; Viridiplantae; Streptophyta; Magnoliopsida; Malpighiales; Euphorbiaceae.